UCGAACGUAGUGCACGGUGCACGUCUGCAGAAAUUACUUCGUUCGAGAUCGCGUCGGUAGGAGGACCGGGUUCGACUCCCGGCGUUCGAA
Molecule: non-coding RNA, 90 nt
Organism: Mycena metata
Lineage: Eukaryota; Fungi; Basidiomycota; Agaricomycetes; Agaricales; Mycenaceae
Source: the annotation of a GenBank genome assembly